GGGGCGGGGCGGCCGCGGCAGCGGCAGCAGCGGCAGCGGGGCUUGGGGCCGGCGGGGCCGCGCUUGGGCCGCGCUCGGGCCGUGCUCGCCUCGCCCGGCCGCCACCGCGCCUCGCCCGCGUCGCCAACCCCGCGCCGCCAGCUUCACCGCGGCCCCCGGCGGCUGCGGCCUCCCGCGGUGCGCCUCGCCGCCGACGAGGCCUAGCCCCGGCGGGAGCCCGCGGCCCGCUCUGCCCGGGCCCUCCGGACACCAGACACACGCGCGCGCGUGCGCUCUCUCUGUCUUUCCCCCUCCCGCCGGAUGUUGGACCCCUUGAAAUCCGCUCACCCCGCACCCUGGCCCCCACUGCUUCUCCCCCAGCUCAGUGCUGCUGUGAAACACGCUGGCUGCGGCUGCCCGGUCUGGUGCCUCCGCUUCGGUUCAAAGCUGGCUGCAGGUAGCAGUCGAGCCUGGGCUGAACUGACGGCGGAUUAUUUAUACUAUAAACCUGCCUGGGGACUGCCCGUCGCUUGAGGUGGCAGCCCCACGGUCAUAUGUGUUGUGUAAGGAUCUGAGUCUGCAUCUGGAGUUUUGCCUGCUGGAGGCUGGCUGUGCCGAAGAGUAUCAGCUCUUCAAAGUAGGCAAUGCACCUUAUUGAGAGUGUCAGGAAACACUUCCAGUGGAUUUUGGAGGCAGGCGUGACUGCUGUCUCUGCUCCUCAUGUGACCACAGCUCUGGAUAUCUCCCUCUGCAUUAUAUUGUCAUGUCUUUCUGCCCCUUUAUGUUCUGCUGAUACAUUUGUAGAGGAGAGAAGUUAGUAUUUGGAACCACACUUCUGUAAAGCUGUGUUGUGGAUGUGUUUCUCCCAACCAAGCUGUUAGGAUGGGCACAGAAGUCCAGAAACAAACUCAGAUAAUUGUUUUACACUUAGACAUUAUUUUUAGUCUUAAGCAUAAGACCUUACUGAAGGCAUUAAGGAGAAGGCAAAAUUAAGCUUUAAAUAGAAACAGCUGCAACCUUAACUGUGGAGGAAAACAGAAAACUGUGGAGUUUGGAAUUGAGCAAUAGAAGAGUUUAUUAAAACAAGUGGGAAAAGCUCCUUUUCGGACAUUAAAAAAUGGAGGAAAAAGGCGUUUGGAAACAUUGUAUAAAGCCAGAACAGCUGCCUUUGAAGGUGGAUGCGCUAGCAUGCUGCUUGUUUAUAAACUUUAAGAGUAAUGGCACAAAAGAAAGAACUGUUUACUCCCUCUAUUGAUCAAACUAGAGAAGUGCUGCCAUGCAGCACUUAAGUGUAUCGGCUCCAGGGCACUUGGGGGACACCAUAGCUCAAGUUUCGAGGUAGUGAGCAGAAAGCAUACCAUGAGGGAGAAAUAACUGUUGUGUUAUCUCCAGGGGUGUUUUUCUUUCUUUCUUUCUUUCUUUCUUUCUUUCUUUCUUUUCUUUUUUUCUUUUUUUUUGAAGUAGCUAAUCGUCUAAAGAAUUUAAAGAGUUCUCUAUAACACUUUUGGGGAGACUGUGAAGGUGGUGGUUUCUUAAGUCAAAAUAAGGAUGCUUAGUCCUCAGCCAGUCAGUAGUCAAAUGGUGUUUUCAUCUGAGGCAAGGGAGAUUCAAGACUUGCACUGGAACUCUUGGCUGGGCUUUCCCCAGGCCUCUUUCACUCCCUCCAUAAAUAAAGAGUAUAAGUCUGGAAGCAAAA
Long non-coding RNA from Dromaius novaehollandiae (emu), 1675 nucleotides. RefSeq lists it as uncharacterized. NCBI's taxonomy places the organism in Eukaryota, Metazoa, Chordata, Aves, Casuariiformes, Dromaiidae. The record is from RefSeq and is a predicted model, not a curated record. The transcript is spliced from 2 exons.